This is a small nuclear RNA of Capra hircus (goat), 95 nucleotides long. Lineage: Eukaryota; Metazoa; Chordata; Mammalia; Artiodactyla; Bovidae. The record is from Ensembl.
UUGCUUGGCAGCAUGUGUCCUAAGACUGGAACAAUACAGAAAAGAUUAAUAUGGCCCCUACACAAGGAUAACAUGCACAUUUUCCCCAUUUUUUU